CCUACGGGGGGCAGCAGUGGGGAAUAUUGGACAAUGGACAAGUCUGAUCCAGCAAUUCUGUGUGCACGAUGACGUUUUUCGGAAUGUAAAGUGCUUUCAGUUGGGAAGCGGUACCAACAGAAGAAGUGACGGCUAAAUACGUGCCAGCAGCCGCGGUAAUACGUAUGUCACAAGCGUUAUCCGGAUUUAUUGGGCGUAAAGCGCGUCUAGGUGGUUAUGUAAGUCUGAUGUGAAAAUGCAGGGCUCAACUCUGUAUUGCGUUGGAAACUGCAUGACUAGAGUACUGGAGAGGUAAGCGGAACUACAAGUGUAUAGGUGAAAUUCGUAGAUAUUUGUAGGAAUGCCGAUGGGGAAGCCAGCUUACUGGACGAACUGACGCUAAAGCGCGAAAGCGUGGGUAGCAAACAGGAUUAGAUACCCUUGUAGUC
Molecule: ribosomal RNA, 428 nt
Filed under: uncultured bacterium
Lineage: Bacteria
Description: partial 16S ribosomal RNA
Rfam family: Bacterial small subunit ribosomal RNA
Source: RNAcentral